GUGAAUCAUCGAAUUUUUGAACGCAAAUUGCACUCUCUUCGGAGAGUAUGUCUGUUUGAGGGUACGAUUUAAUAAAUAUUGGGGAGUUGCUUUUUUGGGACGCUCUGGUGAGCUGGUCAUCAUAAUAACUUUUAGGUUGUAAGAGGCUAAAAAUUGACUUUUUUUUUGCAUUUUAGAUGUACAUAAAUUCUUUUUUUUAUUCGUCUGUCUUAAUGCUCAAAAUCCUAUUAGAUGCGAUCAUAUCGUG
Molecule: unclassified non-coding RNA, 247 nt
Filed under: Glomeraceae sp.
Lineage: Eukaryota; Fungi; Glomeromycota; Glomeromycetes; Glomerales; Glomeraceae
Description: partial contains 5.8S ribosomal RNA and internal transcribed spacer 2
Rfam family: 5.8S ribosomal RNA (bases 1-65)
Source: RNAcentral